UGCGCAGGCGGUUUUGUAAGUCAGAUGUGAAAUCCCCGGGCUCAACCUGGGAACUGCGUUUGAAACUACAAGACUAGAGUGUGGCAGAGGGGGGUGGGAAUUCCACGUGUAGCAGUGAAAUGCGUAGAGAUGUGGAGGAACACCGAUGGCGAAGGCAGCCCCCUGGGUUAACACUGACGCUCAGGCACGAAAGCGUGGGGAGCAAACGA
This 209-nucleotide ribosomal RNA is filed under the name uncultured bacterium. RNAcentral describes it as "partial 16S ribosomal RNA". It matches the Rfam family "Bacterial small subunit ribosomal RNA", at positions 568 to 775 of the family's 1533-position model. The record is from RNAcentral.